RNAcentral lists this long non-coding RNA (283 nucleotides) under Physcomitrium patens. RNAcentral describes it as "long non-coding RNA (PPAT_LNC002049)". Lineage: Eukaryota; Viridiplantae; Streptophyta; Bryopsida; Funariales; Funariaceae. The record is from RNAcentral.
UUGAUUAGGGUUUGGUUUAGGAUUUAGGAUUUGAUUUAGGAUUUGAUUGGAAUUUGGUUUAAGAUUUGUUUAGGAUUUGAUUUAGAGUUUAGGAUUUGAUUAGGGUUUGGUUUAGGAUUUAGGAUUUAGUUUGGGAUUUAGGGUUUGAUUUAGGAUUUAGGAUUUUAUUAGGAUUUGUUUAGGAUUUAAGAUUUAAUUAAUUUUGGCCUAAAGUUUGAAUGAAGUCCAAUAGGAUUUUAACUAGAAUAAAUUUAAGAUUGAAUUGAGAUAUAUUUGAGAGAUA